GACGAACGCUGGCGGCGUGCUUAACACAUGCAAGUCGAACGAAGAGCGAUGGCAUCUUUCUUCUGUCCGUCUUAGUGGCGGACGGGUGAGUCACGCGUAAUCAACCUUCCCUUUUGAGGGGGACUACAGUUGGAAACGCUUGCUAAUACCACAUACGAUCUAAUCUCGGCAUCGAGGGGAGAUUUACGGUGGCCUCUACUUGUAUGCCAUCACUGCAGGUGGGGGGUGCGUCGGUUGAGCUCGAUGGCGUGGUAACGUCCCACGAAGGCGAGGAUCAGUAGUCGGUCUGAGAGGAUGGACGGCCACAUUGGGACGGAGACACGGCCCAGACUGCUACAGGAGGCAGCAGUGGGGCAUCGUGCGCAAUGGGCGGAAGUCUGUCGGAGCAACGCCGCGUGAGGGAGGAGGGCCGUCGGGUUGUGAAGCUCGGUUAAUCGGGAGGAAAGGGCUUCUUGCGAAUAGGGAGAAGGAUUGACGGUACCGGAAAAAAAAGCACCGGCUAACUACGUG
Molecule: ribosomal RNA, 510 nt
Filed under: uncultured bacterium
Lineage: Bacteria
Description: partial 16S ribosomal RNA
Rfam family: Bacterial small subunit ribosomal RNA
Source: RNAcentral